Molecule: ribosomal RNA, 374 nt
Filed under: uncultured organism
Description: partial 16S ribosomal RNA
Rfam family: Bacterial small subunit ribosomal RNA
Source: RNAcentral
GUAGGUGGCAAGCGUUGUCCGGAAUUAUUGGGCGUAAAGCGCGCGCAGGUGGGUUCUUUAAGUCUGAUGUGAAAGCCCCCGGGCUCAACCGGGGAGGGUCAUUGGAAACUGGGGAACUUGAGUGCAGGAGAGGAAAGUGGAAUUCCACGUGUAGCGGUGAAAUGCGUAGAUAUGUGGAGGAACACCAGUGGCGAAGGCGACUUUCUGGCCUGUAACUGACACUGAGGCGCGAAAGCGUGGGGAGCAAACAGGGUUAGAUACCCUGGUAGUCCACGCCGUAAACGAUGAGUGCUAAGUGUUGGGGGGUUUCCGCCCCUCAGUGCUGCAGCUAACGCAUUAAGCACUCCGCCUGGGGAGUACGGUCGCAAAGACUG